Lathyrus oleraceus (garden pea) is the source of this 566-nucleotide long non-coding RNA. RefSeq lists it as uncharacterized. The transcript has 3 exons. NCBI's taxonomy places the organism in Eukaryota, Viridiplantae, Streptophyta, Magnoliopsida, Fabales, Fabaceae. The record is from RefSeq and is a predicted model, not a curated record.
UUUAUAUAAGUAUGUCCCUUCCAUCACUCUUGGAACUGUAAGCGUAUGUAGUGCAGUGUUCAUCUCUCAUCUUUUUUCUGAGUCAAAGUUUUCAUGGCAAAGAGAUCUCAUACUUCUUCUUCUACUACUACCACCAUGGUGAAACCCAAGUAACUCACCUCCACAAAGAAGCUCCAUUUAUAGAGGUGUCACAAGACAUCGUUGGACAGGUCGAUAUGAAGCUCAUUUGUGGGAUAAGAAUUGUUGGAAUCAAUCACAAAGCAAGAAAGGAAGACAAGUUCUGCUAGGUGGAUACACAUAAAGGAAGGAAGAAGAAGAAAAACGAAGAAAGAGAGGAAAGAGAGAGAGGGGAAUGGAAUAAUCUGAAGCAUGUCAAAUGAGAAAUGAGAGACGUAAGGUAAUCCGGGUAAAUGAAAGAACCACUAGAUAAUAGUGCAGUUUGAAAUGAAUCAAGAGAAAGCUGCUAGGGUUGUUUUCAUUGGUCAAAAAAAAUUUAUUUAGUAAAUUACAAUUAUUAUUUUCUAUUGAUUUUUUAUCAUACAACGAUUAAAAAUUAGCCAAUUAUU